RNAcentral lists this ribosomal RNA (306 nucleotides) under uncultured bacterium. Its description in RNAcentral is "partial 16S ribosomal RNA". It matches the Rfam family "Bacterial small subunit ribosomal RNA", at positions 507 to 809 of the family's 1533-position model. The record is from RNAcentral.
GACAGCAGCCGCCACGGUAAUACGAAGGGUGCCAGCGUUACUCGGAAUUACUGGGCGUAAAGCGUGCGUAGGUGGUGGUUUAAGUCCGUUGUGAAAGCCCUGGGCUCAACCUGGGAAUUGCAGUGGAUACUGGGUCACUAGAGUGUGGUAGAGGAUAGUGGAAUUUCCGGUGUAGCAGUGAAAUGCGUAGAGAUCGGAAGGAACAUCUGUAGCGAAGGCGACUAUCUGGGCCAACACUGACACUGAGGCACGAAAGCGUGGGGAGCAAACAGGAUUAGAUACCCGCGUAGUCCCUGUCUCUUAUCA